Molecule: non-coding RNA, 81 nt
Organism: Lupinus angustifolius (narrow-leaved blue lupine)
Lineage: Eukaryota; Viridiplantae; Streptophyta; Magnoliopsida; Fabales; Fabaceae
Source: Rfam
GGAAGUGUUGUCAAAAGGCUUGACAGGCAGUUCAAAAGCUGUUGCUCUCAGGAGCUGAGAGUUCAAGUCUCUCCAUUUCCC